This is an RNA transcript of Mustela erminea (ermine), 4266 nucleotides long. It is a transcript of the gene named SAMM50 sorting and assembly machinery component, with no coding region annotated. The record is from RefSeq and is a predicted model, not a curated record. NCBI's taxonomy places the organism in Eukaryota, Metazoa, Chordata, Mammalia, Carnivora, Mustelidae. The transcript is spliced from 16 exons.
GUGGCAGGUGCCCUCCCGGAUCUGGGCUGCCCCUGACGGCGAGCCUGGACGCUCCGCGGGGGCGUGGGGCCCGCACAGCACCCGCCCGGCCGGGGCGCCAGGAGGGUUCAGGGGGGGCCCCGGGUGAAGCCUUGGCGAACCCACCAACCGUCGGCUCUCUCCCGGGGGCGACACCGGACGCCGGCUCCCAGCGGGUCCUCACGGGGACUCGCGCCCACCGCGCCAGCAGCUGUGCGGGCGUUACUGGAAGUUCUGCGCUACAGUCGCCUCCCGGCAAUGGGGCUUCCCGGCGCCCGUGUGAACAUCCGGGUCACAGGCCCUUAAGGACCAAUGAGAGGACGUAUCGUGAGCUAAGGGGCGGGGCAUCAUGGCUGCCCCCAGUGCGCCGCGUCCGGGGUCUGGUGGAUGUUACGCUGAUUGACAGCUCCGUCACCGCGGGCCCGCCCUCUGCCCUCAGCAGCGGAGCGGUGGUCACCCCGGGAAGCUCUACGAGGCGGCGGCCGGAGAGGGAGCCAUGGGGACAGUGCACGCCCGGAGUUUGGAGCCUCUUCCACCUAAUGGACCUGAUUUUGGCGCAUUAGGAGAAGAAGCUGAGUUUGUUGAAGUUGAACCUGAAGCCAAACAGGAGAUUCUUGAAAACAAAGAUGUGGUUGUGCAACACGUUCAUUUUGACGGACUUGGAAGAACGAAAGAUGAUGUCAUCGCAUGUGAAAUUGGAGACGUUUUUAAGGCGAAAAACCUGAUUGAGGUGAUGCGGAAAUCUCACGAAGCCCGUGAAAAGCUGCUUCGACUGGGAAUAUUCAGACAAGUGGAUGUUUUGAUCGAUACGUGUCAAGGUGAUGGUGCCCUUCCAAACGGCUUAGACGUUACCUUCGAAGUAACCGAACUGAGGAGACUGACGGGCAGCUAUAACACCAUGGUUGGGAACAACGAAGGCAGCAUGGUGCUUGGCCUCAAACUCCCUAAUCUUCUAGGCCGUGCAGAAAAGGUGACUUUUCAGUUUUCAUAUGGAACCAAAGAGACUUCGUAUGGCCUGUCCUUCUUCAAACCACGGCCCGGAAACUUCGAGAGAAAUUUCUCUGUCAACUUAUAUAAAGUUACUGGCCAGUUCCCCUGGAGCUCGCUUCGGGAGACAGACAGAGGAGUGUCCGCUGAGUACAGCUUUCCCAUAUGGAAGACCAGCCACACCGUCAAGUGGGAGGGCGUGUGGCGGGAGCUGGGCUGCCUCUCCAGGACGGCGUCCUUCGCUGUCCGGAAGGAGAGCGGGCACUCGCUGAAGUCCUCUCUUUCGCACGCGAUGGUCAUCGACUCGCGGAACUCCUCCAUCUUGCCCAGGAGAGGGGCUCUGCUGAAAGUUAACCAGGAGCUGGCUGGCUACACUGGAGGGGACGUGAGUUUCAUAAAGGAAGAUUUCGAGCUUCAGUUGAAUAAACAACUUCUAUUCGAUUCGGUUUUCUCAGCGUCUCUCUGGGGCGGGAUGUUGGUGCCCAUCGGCGAGAAACCGUCGAGUAUUGCAGACAGGUUUUACCUCGGAGGACCGACCAGUGUGCGCGGGUUUAGCAUGCACAGCGUGGGGCCGCAGAGCGAAGGCGACUACCUGGGCGGAGAGGCCUACUGGGCCGGCGGCCUGCACGUGUACACGCCCCUGCCCUUCCGGCCGGGCCAGGGUGGCUUCGGGGAGCUGUUCAGAACGCACUUCUUCCUCAACGCCGGCAACCUGUGCAACCUCAACUACGGGGAGGGCCCCAAGGCUCACAUCCGGAAGCUGGCCGAGUGCAUCCGCUGGUCUUAUGGUGCCGGGAUCGUCCUCAGGCUCGGCAACAUCGCCCGGCUGGAGCUGAAUUACUGUGUCCCCAUGGGCGUGCAGAAGGGGGACAGUUUGGAGGAAAAAUGUGACGUGUCCCCUCCCCCCCAUUCUUGUUGCACUCUCUGUCGCCAAGUCGUGGGGGCCCCUCCCCAGGUCCGGUCAGAGGAAUCGAGAAGGCAUAUGGAUCCUGCUUGUUAAAAAUGGAAUGAGGUAUUUCUGGUGGGUGACUUUACAGGCCAGGAAUUCAGAGUUGGAGGGGACAAGGCUCUGCUCCUGGCCACAGAGGACUCAUUGCCCAGAGCCUUCUCUUGGGAGCAGAGGAACCUGCCAGCCUGGACUUUCUCCCCCAGUCCUCAUACUGAGCAAGAUUUGCAAAAUAUGGCCUGAGGUCAUUUACAGUUACAGAAAUUCCAUUUCUUGGUUUAUCUAGCAUCCGUUGUAUACAUUUUGAGAAAUGCGGAAGCAGUGCCUGGAUCCGUAUCAGGUGGGGCCGCCCUGACAGAGCACCGCACACUGGGGGCCCGACCUACAGAUGAGUGUGUCUCACGGUUCUGGAGGCUCCAAGUCCGGGACCAGGGUCCCGGCCAGUCCGGCUCCUGGUGAGGGCUCCUUCCCAGCUUCCUAACGUGUCCUUACCUGGCGAAGAGAGAGCGAGCUAGCUCUCUGAUGCCUCUUCUGAUAAGGACAGGGACCCCCCCAUGGGGACCCCACCCUCAUAGCAUCAUCUGAAUCGAAUGAACCUCUCGAGGCCUCACCUCCGAAUACCGUGUCAUGGUCCGGCUUUCACACGCGCGUCCCGGGGGCGCGUCAGGCUCCUGCCCGUUCCUCCCUCGUCACGUUCACGCUAACGCAGUCUGGGCUCUAGGCUGUGUUUUUUUUCUUUCGGCGUUCUGUCUACACUUAUGUGGCUACCACGCUGGCCGAGUCACAGUCCGAGUCUCAAGCGGGACGUUGGAGUUUGUCCUCACUGGAAGAAGAGCAGUGCUGCUUCUCCCGCCGUCUCCUGCUUCGGUGUGGGGCUCUCGGAAAGGCAGACCCUCCCGGGUGUGGAGUGACCUGCAGACACUGUUGCGCUCCUUAGGGAGACUGAUGCUUGUGGACCAGCCCCCCUCGGAGGGAGACCGACCCGGGUCCCUUCUGAGAGCAGUUACAGCGUUCGGUGGAGGGACGGCGAUCAUUCGCAUUGACUGACCGCGUGCCUCCUGUGAGGCCCCAAGCUAAGCCCUUGACACCAUUCUGGAAGCCUCCCAGCCGCUCUGUGCAGGGGAGGGUGUUCCCCUCUUGCAGACGAGGACAGCAGCCUUGGUGGGGUCCGCGGUCCGCUCGGCAGCAGGACCAGGCCUGCUUGAGGCCGGACCUUGUGCCUUUGCCUCCACACCAACACCGCGCGAGCACCAGCACCAGCACCUCCCUCUCCUGGGAGCCCGGACGUGGGCAGGCGGUGCUCCUCGCAGCCCCACGCCACUCUCCCUGCGCCUCGGGCGUUCGCUGCGGAAAGAGAAAAGCCCUCUCCUCCGUGCUUCUCUUCUGGGAAGAUCUUCCUCGGACUUGAAUUCUGUACGCGCUUUCCUGUCUCAGAGAUCGUACAGGCUGUUUCCACGACGAUCGAUCCGUUUGGGUUAACUGUGUCAGUGUUAGUGCAAGUUAUGUAAGUAAAUGCAUUCUAAAUAUUUUUUAUUACAAAGAAAACUUCAGUGCCUGUGGCUUUAUAGCCGUGGCUGUCGUGUCUGUGUCACGGAAUGAUCGUCGACCACGGAGAACUGACCACUCCCCUCUCAGCCGGUUUCCAGAGAGCAGCAGACGUGGGGCUGCAGGCCCAGCCCUGCCCUGUCCCUGUGUGUCCCCCUGCCCAUGUGACUUGGGGCACGUCCCUGGGGCUGUGGGCCUCCUGUCCUUCAGCUCAGCCGCGGCUGCUGUCCCCAUGGCUGCAGUGUUGUUCGAGGCCACUGGAUGUCGCUGUGCUCCGAGGAUCGCUGCCCCACUCCGGAGCCCCGUGUCUUUCCCCUGGUUCACGGAGUCCUUGCGGGGAACGCUUGCUUCCGCUCACCUGUCAGCUUUGCUCUCUCUAAACGGGAAGAAUCUGUUUCAGAGACGAAUUUCAGAUGCGGCUUGCUCUGGAAGGAGGAAGCUUGCCGGGCACUCGGUAUUUAAAGGCCAGAACACAAGGAAGCCGCUCCUCCCCUCCAGCCGGGCUCUGCUCUGUGACCCCAACUGUGCUGCUUGCCGCAUAUGCGUUUUGUGUCCAGCGUCCCCCGCGCAGGGUCCGCCUGGUUACCCUUGAAUGUGAGACUUGGAUGACUCCGUGCACGGCUGUGUUUGAAGCGUCAUCAUCGGACUGGGAAUUGUGUGAAGUUUGGGUGACAUCGUGAGAAUUUGAUCUUCAUUUUGGAAAUCAGGCAGUGGCGGGACAGGAUUACGUGUGUGAGACUCGCUUGGGGAUUCCCCCCGCUCUUAACGCA